CUGAGAAGUGAGCAAUUGAAAAACAAAAGCAAGAGAAAGGCAAAAGAAAAGAAAAGAAAAAAAAAACAAAAAGAAAAGAAAAAGCUCACUGAAGGGAAAGUUGGGAAAAAGAAAGAGAGUUUGUUCUUGAAUGAUAAAUUCAAAAAUGUUUCUCUUGACUCAAGGAACUUUGUUGUCCAGAAAAACCAAUUUCCUUCUCAGCCCAGCCAAGUUACAAGCCAUGAAAAGCC
Molecule: long non-coding RNA, 230 nt
Filed under: Vigna radiata
Lineage: Eukaryota; Viridiplantae; Streptophyta; Magnoliopsida; Fabales; Fabaceae
Description: long non-coding RNA (VRAD_LNC006519)
Source: RNAcentral